RNAcentral lists this ribosomal RNA (370 nucleotides) under uncultured bacterium. Its description in RNAcentral is "bacterial SSU rRNA". It matches the Rfam family "Bacterial small subunit ribosomal RNA", at positions 525 to 896 of the family's 1533-position model. The record is from RNAcentral.
ACGGAGGGUGCAAGCGUUAUCCGGAAUCACUGGGUUUAAAGGGUGCGUAGGCGGCGCGAUCAGUCAGUUGUGAAAUUCCCCGGCUUAACCGGCGGGACUGCGAUUGAUACUGUCGUGCUUGAAUCAGGUUGAGGUAGGCGGAAUGUGGCAUGUAGCGGUGAAAUGCUUAGAUAUGCCAUAGAACACCGAUUGCGAAGGCAGCUUGCUGGGCCUGUAUUGACGCUGAGGCACGAAAGCGUGGGGAGCAAACAGGAUUAGAUACCCUGGUAGUCCACGCCCUAAACGAUGUUUACUUGCUGUUCCGCCUUAGGGUGGAGUGGCGUAGCGAAAGCGAUAAGUAAACCACCUGGGGAGUACGCCGGCAACGGUG